CCGCCGCCUCUCCUGCGGGCCGUCACGCGCAGCCGGCGCCCAGCCCGGAGGACCCCGAGCCUGGUCCCCGGGGUUCAGCCCGAGGGCGGAAGGGGGCGCAAGGGGCGCGCUGGGCCCCGAACCCGGAGAGCGGGGCUUCUGCUGUGCGCACCACCGGCCCCGAGGGGGCGCCCGAGCCCGCCCCGGAGCGCCUCGGGGUCAGGCCCGCCCGGCGCCGCCCCCUCAGCGCGACGCCGCUCGGCGGCCCUGGGUCCGCGGCCUGUCACAGUGAGUCCCGGGCGUCCUCCUCAGCCGGGCGAGGAGGGCCUCGGCCGCGGGCCCUCGGAGAAGCGUUUGUCCUCCGAGGCGAGCACGGAACCUUGGAGUCUCCGCCUCGUUCCCACGGGCUUUAUUCUUACGAAAUUCGCGUUUCAGGACCAGAAACACAUGUCCAGCCAGAAGGUCCCUGUGGGAUCCAUGGAGAAAGCGCUGCUUCUGCAGUGAGGACACAAGCUUCAUUCCUGUGGGACUGACCUGGGGAAGUUCCUGUGGCUCUGGGACAACUCAGUGUUUCAUCCAUACUUGCCUAUUUAGUGCUUUACAUUUCCGCGAGUGAAAUACCAGUGAAAGACAAGACAGUUGGUGGCUGAGCUAGUGAAAAUGCAUCCACAGGUGAGUAGGAAAUUGCUCUUUCUGGUUAAAUGACACCUUUGUUUUCAGCAGAUGAUUCCUUCUUUUGACAUGAAUGUCCUAAGUUUAGUCAGAGAUAUUCAAAGAUCUAAGCUCCAGUUAAUUUUCCCCAGUAUUGUGG
This 790-nucleotide long non-coding RNA is filed under the name Dasypus novemcinctus (nine-banded armadillo). Its description in RNAcentral is "lncRNA (ENSDNOG00000049929.1)". The record is from RNAcentral. Lineage: Eukaryota; Metazoa; Chordata; Mammalia; Cingulata; Dasypodidae.